Molecule: long non-coding RNA, 368 nt
Organism: Haliotis rubra (blacklip abalone)
Lineage: Eukaryota; Metazoa; Mollusca; Gastropoda; Lepetellida; Haliotidae
Exons: 3
Source: RefSeq, a predicted model, not a curated record
GCAUCCAUGCUGAUGACAAAACACUCGUUUUGAGAAGUGGACAUCACCUCUGACUGAAGUGAACGCCUGCAGUGACGGCAUCACUGUCGAUCUGACUCCACCUACACCGGGGACAGUGAACAUAGAGAAUCUCAUAGACGGGACAUUUCAGGUUAGCAAAACAGAAGUUGCAAUUAGCUGGACAACUUUUGUUGAUGACGAAGAGGAAGGUUUCUCUGCUCAUGCUGCUGGGAUUGCCUUUUAUGAAGUUGCAGUGGGUACUUUCCCUGGUGGACAAGAUCUUGUCAUUUACACCCGUGUUGGAUAUGUAAACAAGUACAUUCUACACAGGCUCAACCUGCAGACUGGAAGUACAUACUAUAUCUCAG